This 58-nucleotide unclassified non-coding RNA is filed under the name Drosophila orena. The record is from RNAcentral. Lineage: Eukaryota; Metazoa; Arthropoda; Insecta; Diptera; Drosophilidae.
AACAACUAACGGAGCCCUCUUCCCAUUGAAACAGAUCGAAAGAGCCUGCUAAAGCAAU